Molecule: RNase P RNA, 354 nt
Filed under: Lachnospiraceae bacterium
Lineage: Bacteria; Bacillati; Bacillota; Clostridia; Lachnospirales; Lachnospiraceae
Description: RNase P RNA component class A
Rfam family: Bacterial RNase P class A
About the family: Ribonuclease P (RNase P) is a ubiquitous endoribonuclease, found in archaea, bacteria and eukarya as well as chloroplasts and mitochondria.
Source: RNAcentral
UAAGUGGGACGGACGGUCGCGCGGGAAACCGUGAGGAAAGUCCGGGCUUCGCAGGGCAGGAUGCCGGAUAACGUCCGGUGGAGGUGACUCCAAGGCCAGUGCAACAGAAAUAUACAGCCACGAUUUCGUGGUAAUGGUGGAAAGGCAGUGUAAGAGACUACCGCCCGGCCGGUAACGGCCGGGGCACAUGUAAACCCCAUCCGAAGCAAGACCAAACAGAAGACCAUAGGCUUGCCCGGCCUGUUUUCAGGUAGGUCGCUAAAGACUGUCGGCAACGGCAGUAUCAGAUAGAUGACCGUCCCGGCUCCUUUGCAGGGGCUAUGACAUAACCCGGCUUACAGUCCCGCUUGUUUU